GGCCGCGGGAAUUCGAUUCAGGCCUAACACAUGCAAGUCGAACGAUGAAGCUGGAGCUUGCUCCGGUGGAUUAGUGGCGAACGGGUGAGUAACACGUGAGAAAUCUGCCCUUGACUCUGGGAUAACUGCGGGAAACUGUAGCUAAUACCGGAUACUUUCCUUGGUGGGCAUCCACUGGGGAAGAAAGAAUUUCGGUCAAGGAUGAUCUCGCGGCCUAUCAGCUAGUUGGUGAGGUAAUGGCUCACCAAGGCGACGACGGGUAGCCGGCCUGAGAGGGUGACCGGCCACACUGGGACUGAGACACGGCCCAGACUCCUACGGGAGGCAGCAGUGGGGAAUAUUGCACAAUGAAGGCAAGCCUGAUGCAGCAACGCCGCGUGAGGGA
Molecule: ribosomal RNA, 385 nt
Filed under: uncultured bacterium
Lineage: Bacteria
Description: bacterial SSU rRNA
Rfam family: Bacterial small subunit ribosomal RNA
Source: RNAcentral